AUGGUCCUCUGGGAAAGCUUUUGCGGUAUGGGAUGGGGUCGCGUCCUAUCAGCUUGAUGGCGGGGUAACGGCCCACCAUGGCUUCGACGGGUAGCCGGCCUGAGAGGGCGACCGGCCACAUUGGGACUGAGAUACGGCCCAGACUCCUACGGGAGGCAGCAGUGGGGAAUAUUGCACAAUGGGCGCAAGCCUGAUGCAGCGACGCCGCGUGCGGGAUGACGGCCUUCGGGUUGUAAACCGCUUUUGACUGGGAGCAAGCCCUUCGGGGUGAGUGUACCUUUCGAAUAAGCACCGGCUAACUACGUGCCAGCAGCCGCGGUAAUACGUAGGGUGCAAGCGUUAUCCGGAAUUAUUGGGCGUAAAGGGCUCGUAGGCGGUUCGUCGCGUCCGGUGUGAAAGUCCAUCGCUUAACGGUGGAUCCGCGCCGGGUACGGGCGGGCUUGAGUGCGGUAGGGGAGACUGGAAUUCCCGGUGUAACGGUGGAAUGUGUAGAUAUCGGAAAAAAAAC
Molecule: ribosomal RNA, 508 nt
Filed under: Bifidobacterium adolescentis
Lineage: Bacteria; Bacillati; Actinomycetota; Actinomycetes; Bifidobacteriales; Bifidobacteriaceae
Description: partial 16S ribosomal RNA
Rfam family: Bacterial small subunit ribosomal RNA
Source: RNAcentral